CUCAGGACGAACGCUGGCGGCGUGCUUAACACAUGCAAGUCGAACGAUGAAGCCCUUCGGGGUGGAUUAGUGGCGAACGGGUGAGUAACACGUGGGCAAUCUGCCCUUCACUCUGGGACAAGCCCUGGAAACGGGGUCUAAUACCGGAUAACACCGGCUUCCGCAUGGGAGCUGGUUGAAAGCUCCGGCGGUGAAGGAUGAGCCCGCGGCCUAUCAGCUUGUUGGUGGGGUAAUGGCCUACCAAGGCGACGACGGGUAGCCGGCCUGAGAGGGCGACCGGCCACACUGGGACUGAGACACGGCCCAGACUCCUACGGGAGGCNNNAGUGGGGAAUAUUGCACAAUGGGCGAAAGCCUGAUGCAGCGACGCCGCGUGAGGGAUGACGGCCUUCGGGUUGUAAACCUANNNUANUGUAAACCUCUUUCAGCAGGGAAGAAGCGAAAGUGACGGUACCUGCAGAAGAAGCGCCGGCUAACUACGUGCCAG
Molecule: ribosomal RNA, 487 nt
Filed under: Streptomyces zaomyceticus
Lineage: Bacteria; Bacillati; Actinomycetota; Actinomycetes; Kitasatosporales; Streptomycetaceae
Description: bacterial SSU rRNA
Rfam family: Bacterial small subunit ribosomal RNA
Source: RNAcentral